AGCUCGUCCCCCUCCAUCGCACACCGCCCCCUCCCACCGUCGCGUCGCCAGCGUCGGAUUUCAGACGUUCGGGACGAGGUCUGUGAUUGGUUGGAUGUUUUGAUGUGAGCCACCAUAGAGAGAGAGUGAGAGAGAUUUAUUUGUUUUUAUUUUAAUGUGGGCCACCAUUUUCAUAUUUAGGACUAUCCUCCACACCCUUGGAUAGUCCUCAAGAGGAUAGUCCUCUACCCAUGGUGAAGUGGCGCCUACGUAUGUGGAGAUAGUAACCACAUGACAGGAAAGAAAGAGUUCUUCACCAGUUUCAGUGAAAGAGUACCGACCCAAGUUUUUCUUUGGUGAUGGAUAAUUUGUAAAUAUUGAAGGAAAAAGGAACAUGAGUGUGCAAUGUAAGAAUGGGAAGCUCUUGAUGAAGGUUCAAAGAAGCCAGAACAAAAUGUACAUUAUUAAACUUAACAUAUGUUCUAAUCCUAACAACCUUUAUGGUGAAAAGAAAGAAAGUCUAGAUCCAAAUUCAAAGAAAGGUCAAGCUAAUGCAAGCUCAUUUAUGAGCGAAAAAGCGGAUGUGAAAGUAAGUGAUCGUAGGAUUAACGAAGGCCCAAUUCAAUUUGGGUUAGUCCAAAAAAAGAUUUGAUAGAUUUUAGUUUCCGAAGGUAACUAACUUGUUUUCCAAGUUGUUUAGUAUAAAUAGAUUAGAAGUUUCAUUGUAGUUUAUAUCCAGUUUUGGUUUUGAUUAAUAGAAAGAAAGGAUUCGGGUUAUUCUCCAA
Helianthus annuus (common sunflower) is the source of this 764-nucleotide long non-coding RNA. RefSeq lists it as uncharacterized. Lineage: Eukaryota; Viridiplantae; Streptophyta; Magnoliopsida; Asterales; Asteraceae. The transcript is spliced from 2 exons. The record is from RefSeq and is a predicted model, not a curated record.